Molecule: non-coding RNA, 29 nt
Filed under: Mus musculus (house mouse)
Lineage: Eukaryota; Metazoa; Chordata; Mammalia; Rodentia; Muridae
Source: RNAcentral
UGACUGAUAAGCCGCAGAAGUUGCCAGUU